This 1203-nucleotide long non-coding RNA is filed under the name Olea europaea subsp. europaea. The record is from RNAcentral. Lineage: Eukaryota; Viridiplantae; Streptophyta; Magnoliopsida; Lamiales; Oleaceae.
CACAAAACCAUAAAACGCUAUAUCACACCUUCCUUUUCAAAUGAAACAAUAACUAAUUUAGUAAACAUUCCUUCUAGUGUCAUCAAACAAUUGGGAUGAUUCUUCCAAGACAAACAUUUGAUUCUUAACCAACCACUAACGAGCACAUUUAGACAUGUUUGAUACACAGUACUUGACAGAAAUGAAUAUAUAACCAAGAAGAUUUUAAUUCUUUGUUUACCGUCUAGUUCAACAUAUCAAACAUGUCAACAAUACAGAAUCAUCAUAUAAAUCAAAGAAAAAAAGACACAGUACAAAAAUUAUCAGCAUAAUCUAUAAUGUUCUAAGCAAAGUUAAUAUAUUCUCAAGCCGAGUUGCUGAUUUCUUGAUCUGAUGAGAUAUGGCAUAUCAACAUGAGAAGAAGUUCAAACAUAAACAAGACGAGAAGGGCUCUAAACAUUCAUCAAAUGGUCGGUGGGAUCUGGAAAAUUUUCUAUUUAUGAUCCAAAUUCAAAUAAAUAACUUGAAAUAUAUUAGCAUCUAAGCUACUUUUUCUAGGUAAUAUAAGUUUUAUUUAGAACUAUUAACCUUGAUCUUAAGGAAUUCUAGAGACAAAGUAUCUCAAAUAAACAAAAAUCAAGCUUUCUUAAUGCCUUCACGGCACCCGAAAAUCAAAACUAUUUAGGACACAUUUAGCACCUAGUAUCACCCCCUUUCUUAAUCAUAUCAAAUAUUGUCAAGUCCAGCAGACCAAAUGUGCACUGGACAUAACAAAGAUCAGAAUCACCGGGGAGCUAAGGGCGAAGGGUUGUCAUCAGAGCGACCUUCGUCGAAGUUUUGAUAGUAGCUUUGAGCAUCGUAAUUGUAUCGUAUAGUGUUGCUUUUCCUCCUCAGAAGUUGUUUCCAUUGUGAAUUGAACCUCCAAAUCAACAGUCUUGCAGAACAUGAUACAUGGCAACAAUUUUCCUGCAAUCUUUUUUUAAUAGUAAUCAAUCUAAGUGCAGAACUACUGCACAUAAUUUUCCUUCUCAAUUUCAGGAUUUUAUUCUUCAAGCUUCCAAGAUGAGAAAAUUUCAUGGUUGAAGCAACAAGGACCAUAUACUGAAUAGCUGCAGAAGAAAGAGUUUUGGCAAUUUAAUACAUGAAAACACGUGGGAGAUGCCUUGUGAAAGUGAUGAUAUUCUAUUGGACGUAACUUUCACUUGACCAAAAAGUAUUCAUGUA